Molecule: long non-coding RNA, 2627 nt
Filed under: Scleropages formosus (Asian bonytongue)
Lineage: Eukaryota; Metazoa; Chordata; Actinopteri; Osteoglossiformes; Osteoglossidae
Description: lncRNA (ENSSFOG00015030780.1)
Source: RNAcentral
CCCAUAUACUGUAGAUCACCACACCCUGGCGCUUUGAUAUAAAAACACAGAACGCGUUUCAGAAACAGUCUUUGUGCAGUUCGCAACACAGCCACACGGGGGCGCUUCGGCACACCGCAGAAACACGGUCUCCGUGCGGUUUACAUAGAGAGCCACACGAGGGCGGUCUAGCUUAUCGGUAGAACCUUCCGAGAACCUUUGAGCCACGGAAGUAAAUGUUCCAAAUCCCUUUUGCACGCUCUUUAAUGGCAGCACUGGGAGAAGGUACAAGUGACAUUUUGUAACAAGUAAACCCAUUCAGAAUUGAAGUGUGCGAAAACCGUAUCGUCGUUUCGCUGCACACGCCGGUGAGAUAAAUGUCUGACUUACUGCAGCACGAUGAAUAUACCGGCUUCAAAAGCGAAGAAGAACGUCAGCGCCGCACAGGCUGCGCUUUCCGGUGCGGUAAUGAGCGUCUUUACAGACUGAUCGCGAACGCAAACGCCGGAGCAGCGCCGGCGGGGAGCGACGCGGCGGAUCCCGGCUUGUUGUUCUCCAACGAGGAGGACGUGCGCCAGAUCGAAGAGGCCGUGAAAGCGGCCAUAGCGACGGUCGUGAAGGUCUUCUGCUCCGUGAGCGAUGCGAGGAUGCAGGAGUGCCGGAGGGAAGCGGCCGAGAGGCAGCGAGAGAACCGCCGGCUCAGGGUCCGGCUGGCAGCGGCCGAGACGGAGCUGCUGUGGCUGCGGCGACUCGCGGGGCCGCUAGAGGGCGCCGGAGCGGCGGACGGAGACACGCGGGCCGCCCGACGCCUCCACUCCGAUCCGCCUGCAGCCGAGAGGGCGGAGAGGGCGGAGAAGAAGAGUGCGGUUGGCGACGACAAGUCAGCUUCGCGGAGUGUGGAUCAGGAGCUGCUUCUUGAACCGCUGUCGAGACGGGCCGCGGAGAGUCCUUGUGAGAGGACAGUUACCCCGGUAAACCCUCCAGCUAGGAAUGAUGCAGCACGCAUUCCAGAGGUUUCCUUCACUGAGGUUUCUGAUCAGCAGGGUCACGGGAGGAAGCCAAAAAGCGUCUCCCGCUCUGAAGUCCACUCGGAGCCGGAGAGGAACCCCAGGCUCUCCGCAAGCCCAGGAAAGCAUCUCCAUAUGAAAGAAGAGCCUUCUGACUUUGAAACCGUGUAUGUCAAGUGGGAGGUGUGUGAGGAGCAUGUCAGAAGACAGGAGGAUGACCCCGGGUCUAACCGUCUCUUGCGGAAAAAGGACGAGCCGCAUAUAAGCCCUGUAUCUUUCGGCACGUUACCGUCCCCUGGAGCUGGACCUCAGGACGCUGCGGAUGCCCAUGACGCCAGCUUGGUGCCAUCUGCUCUGUUGGGCAGGACAGCGGUGACCUCGCUGGCUCAGAGGCUGUCAAACCGAGAACGGCAGAAGCGGUACAGGGAGAAAAUCCGAGCGGAUCCUGAGCGGCAGCGGAUUUACAGGGAGAAGGACCGCUGCAGAUACCAGAAGAGGAGGAAGCUGAUCUGUGAACUGCCGGAACAAACUCAGAAGCUCCGAAGGCAGGCGUGGAGGGAGGCGGCAAGGCGCCAUCGUGCCCGGAAAAAAUCCUGCCUCCAAAUCGCCCAGUUUCCAAGCCUCGGGAACGUAGAAUCAGCUAUUAAUUCAACGGGUCACCCGGAAAGCUAGCGGCGAUACGGCCCCGUUACGGGGCCAUCCGGACUCCUCGCGAUGAUGAGUUCUCCGACAGCGAACUCGGAAAGCUCAAAAAAAUGUACUCAUCUAGGUAGCUUUUUAUGUACUCUUUGCGAUUUUAACAAUGACGCGCUCUGGCAAACGUCUCAUUCGUCUUCCUGUAUAACUUAUUAAAAAUCGAGACUGAAACUUUGUAGUGCUUGUCUGUUGAUGUAAGUCGCUGCCUCGGAAGGGUAACUGUACGUAUCGAGAUCCUUCGCUCGGUGCUGUCAGCGUAAGGUUCUUGCAACGGAAUAUCGCGCUGAUGUUAAUCAAAGAAACGCUAAUGAAGACACUUUCCAUAGGUAUUAUUUCAAAAGCCUUUUGGUUUUAUUCAUUUCAUUUGCCAGUGUCUGCAGGCAUUUUCUAUAGGAUAUUAAGUUUGUAUUCUAUAUAACUUGUACACCCAUACAGAAUUUGCCUAGUGUGAAAUGUACUCUAAUAUCAAGGAUGUUCAAGGUCCUUCAUAGGAGGAAAGCCUUUGUUAUGCAUAUAAGGCAUAAUUUGUUUAUAACUUAAAAAAAUACAUUACUUACCAGUAAUGUUUAGUAAAUAGUAUCUGAUGGUAGAUAUAACACUUGUGUUUUGCAGAUCAGUUGCUUUUGUUUCUUUUCCAGAACCAUUAUCGGCAGUAUUUAAGUAAAAAUGAUGGAUGAAUAUUUUGUUUUGCUGUUCUAGUACUGCAAAGGAAAUGCGUGCGCACACACACACACAGUCUAAAACCUCUUGUCCUAGGUGAGGUUGCGGGGAGCCAGAGCCUAACCUGGCAACACAGGGCGUAAGGCUGGAGGGGGAAGGGGACACGCCCAGGACGGGACGCCAGUCCAUUGCAAGGCACCCCAAGCGGGACUCGAACCCCAGACCCACUGGAGAGCGGGACCCGGUCCAACCCACCUGGAAAUAAAUAUUUUAUUUGCUUAUUCA